CACGUAGGGAGCAAGCGUUGUCCGGAUUUAUUGGGCGUAAAGCGCUCGUAGGUGGUUCGGUAAGUCGGGUGUGAAAACUCUGGGCUCAACUCAGAGACGCCACCCGAUACUGCUGUGACUUGAGUCUGGUAGGGGAGUGUGGAAUUCCCAGUGUAGCGGUGAAAUGCGCAGAUAUUGGGAGGAACACCAGUGGCGAAGGCGGCACUCUGGGCCAGUACUGACACUGAGGAGCGAAAGCGUGGGUAGCGAACAGG
This 254-nucleotide ribosomal RNA is filed under the name uncultured bacterium. RNAcentral describes it as "partial 16S ribosomal RNA". It matches the Rfam family "Bacterial small subunit ribosomal RNA", at positions 524 to 776 of the family's 1533-position model. The record is from RNAcentral.